ACUCCUACGGGAGGCAGCAGUGGGGAAUUUUGGACAAUGGGGGAAACCCUGAUCCAGCCAUGCCGCGUGUGCGAAGAAGGCCUUCGGGUUGUAAAGCACUUUUGUCAGGAACGAAAAGGUAUGCAUUAAUACUGUGUACCGAUGACGGUACCUGAAGAAUAAGCACCGGCUAACUACGUGCCAGCAGCCGCGGUAAUAC
This 199-nucleotide ribosomal RNA is filed under the name uncultured bacterium. RNAcentral's name for it is "partial 16S ribosomal RNA". It matches the Rfam family "Bacterial small subunit ribosomal RNA", at positions 335 to 526 of the family's 1533-position model. The record is from RNAcentral.